GGAGGCAGCAGUGGGGAAUUUUCCGCAAUGGGCGAAAGCCUGACGGAGCAAUACCGCGUGAGGGAGGAAGGCUUUUGGGUUGUAAACCUCUUUUGUUAAGGAAGAAGCAAGUGACGGUACUUAACGAAUCAGCAUCGGCUAACUCCGUGCCAGCAGCCGCGGUAAUACGGAGGAUGCAAGCGUUAUCCGGAAUUAUUGGGCGUAAAGCGUCCGCAGGUGGUCAAUCGUGUCUGCUGUUAAAGACAGAAGCUCAACUUCUGAGAGGCAGUGGAAACUGGUAGACUAGAGUAUGGUAGGGGUUGAGGGAAUUCCCAGUGUAGCGGUGAAAUGCGUAGAUAUUGGGAAGAACACCAGUGGCGAAGGCGCUCAACUGGGCCAUAACUGACACUGAGGGACGAAAGCUAGGGUAGCGAAAGGGAUUAGAUACCCCUGUAGUCCUAGCCGUAAACGAUGAACACUAGGCGUUGCUUGUAUCGACC
This 479-nucleotide ribosomal RNA is filed under the name Dermocarpella sp. PCC 7326. RNAcentral's name for it is "bacterial SSU rRNA". It matches the Rfam family "Bacterial small subunit ribosomal RNA", at positions 344 to 837 of the family's 1533-position model. The record is from RNAcentral. Lineage: Bacteria; Bacillati; Cyanobacteriota; Cyanophyceae; Pleurocapsales; Dermocarpellaceae.